AUGAACGCUGGCGGCGUGCCUAAUACAUGCCAGUCGAGCGAACAGACGAGGAGCUUGCUCCUCUGACGUUAGCGGCGGACGGGUGAGUAACACGUGGAUAACCUACCUAUAAGACUGGGAUAACUUCGGGAAACCGGAGCUAAUACCGGAUAACAUGUUGAACCGCAUGGUUCAACAGUGAAAGACGGUUUUGCUGUCACUUAUAGAUGGAUCCGCGUCGCAUUAGCUAGUUGGUAAGGUAACGGCUUACCAAGGCAACGAUGCGUAGCCGACCUGAGAGGGUGAUCGGCCACACUGGAACUGAGACACGGUCCAGACUCCUACGGGAGGCAGCAGUAGGGAAUCUUCCGCAAUGGGCGAAAGCCUGACGGAGCAACGCCGCGUGAGUGAAGAAGGUCUUCGGAUCGUAAAACUCUGUUAUUAGGGAAGAACAAAUGUGUAAGUAACUAUGCACGUCUUGACGGUACCUAAUCAGAAAGCCACGGCUAACUACGUG
This 496-nucleotide ribosomal RNA is filed under the name uncultured bacterium. Its description in RNAcentral is "partial 16S ribosomal RNA". It matches the Rfam family "Bacterial small subunit ribosomal RNA", at positions 29 to 507 of the family's 1533-position model. The record is from RNAcentral.